This 254-nucleotide ribosomal RNA is filed under the name uncultured bacterium. RNAcentral's name for it is "partial 16S ribosomal RNA". It matches the Rfam family "Bacterial small subunit ribosomal RNA", at positions 524 to 776 of the family's 1533-position model. The record is from RNAcentral.
UACGUAGGGGGCAAGCGUUGUCCGGAUUUAUUGGGCGUAAAGAGCUCGUAGGCGGUUUGGUAAGUCAGGUGUGAAAUCUCCACGCUCAACGUGGAGGGGCCACCUGAUACUGCCAUGACUGGAGUCCGGUAGAGGAGUGUGGAAUUCCCGGUGUAGCGGUGAAAUGCGCAGAGAUCGGGAGGAACACCAGAGGCGAAAGCGGCGUCCUGGGCAAUGACUGACACUCAAGUGCGAAAGCGUGGGGAGCAAACAGG